This 2138-nucleotide long non-coding RNA is filed under the name Triticum aestivum (bread wheat). RNAcentral's name for it is "long non-coding RNA (TAES_LNC002054)". Lineage: Eukaryota; Viridiplantae; Streptophyta; Magnoliopsida; Poales; Poaceae. The record is from RNAcentral.
CACAUCACAUGCCCACAAUGGAACGCACGCAAAGGGCAAACUCCUCUUCACCUCUUGCAUGAACAAAUCACAAAGAAAUUGCUUCAUCUACAAACAGAGAGAUCAACAUAAGCUAUAAUUCUGGGGAAAAAACAUACAGGAUACCAACAAGGAAUAAACAUGGGAAAGACAAUAAAAAUUUCAGAAAACAUACGAUGUAGGAACCUAGUAAUUUCCAGUGUAAAUCCCCAUGUAACUAUACUUGUAAAACACAAAAUACCUAAAAUUUCCAGUGUAAAAUAAACUGUAACUACUGGAAAUUACAGUACCAGUAAAUCCUAGAAAAUUACAGUGCGAAUCCUAGAAAUUUACAGUGCAAAAACCAGUGAAAAUGGAGACAAAAGAUGCAAUUACGCUGUAAAUACCCAGUAAAUUCCAGAGCAAAUUAAACUGUAGGUGCCUAGUCUGUAAAUCCUAGCAAAUGACAGUGUAAAUCAUAGAGAAUUACAGUGCAGAAACCGGUGUAAACAAGACAAAAGAUUACUGUCAACCCACUAAAUUCUAGUGUAAAUUAAAUCCUGUCACCUAGUAAAAAUUCCACUAUAAAUCCUAGGAAAUUACAGUGAAAUUACACUGCAAUUACAGUGUAAAUUAAACCCACUAAAUUCUAGUGUAAAUUAAAUCCUGUCACCUAGUAAAAAUUCCACUGUAAAUCCUAGGAAAUUACAGUGAAAUUACACUGCAAUUACAGUGUAAAUUAAACCCAGUAAAUCCUAGAAAAUUACAGUGUAAAUAAAAAGUUACAGUGCAAAAACUGGUGUAAGCAUGGAGACAAAAGACAAUUACACUGUAAAUACCCAGUAAAUUCCAGUGUAAACUAAGGGUACCUAGUAAGAAUUCCAUUGUAAAUCCUAGAAAAUUACAGUGAAAACUGGUGUGGUUUACUUUAAUUUAUAGGGGAUUUCCACUGUAAAUCCUAGAAAAUUACAGUGUAAUUACAAUGCAAUUACAGUGCAAAUUAAACCCACUAAAUCCUAAAAUAUUACAGUGUAAAUCAUAGAAAGUUACAGUGCAAAAAAAGGUGUAAACAUGGAGACAAAAGACAGCUACACUGUAAACACCCAAAUAAUUACACUGUAACUCAACAAAACUAAAGUAAUUACACUGUAAGUACCUAGCAAUUUCCAAAUGUAAAAACUCAAGAAAACUAAAGUAAUUACACUGUAAGUACCUAGUAAUUACACCGUAAGCGCAAAAUACAACCUACAGAAUACAUUCAAGCUUGAUUGUGAUUAUGCUAACACUAACAUUCUGCUUACAUCUAUUUCUAUAAGCUUUGCUGCCGAUGAUUAUGCUAGCACCGACAUUCUACUUUUCAAAAUGUGUCACGAGAGGAGCAUGAUGAGGACAAUAACUGACUACGAUCUCCUGAGAUUGACACAGGAAGAACUCAUAUUAAAUGUGAGAUACAGUACCUAAAACUUUGCAAAGAUGAUUAAAAUACAUUAAAAGGUAAAAGGCUAACAAAAUUAUGAUGCAAGAAUCAUUUUCUUUCACUGCACUCCUUCAUUCCGACAUUAUAUACAAGGUAUAAAAUCAAAAAUCUCAAUUAACCGCUGCAAAAAAUACCUAAAUGUCUUAAACUUAAACUUGUGAUGAACCUUGCAGGUACAUUCGGGAGAUGGAUCUACGAGCAUUUGGGAAACUAUGGAGAAAAACUACAGGAGCAAAGUAGAGGACUGUUUCAUCACAACAAGAGAUAACAAAUGUAAGGAAAACAACAACUGAAUAACUAUUACAAACAAAUGGCGAAGGAAACGCACUAACAAUCAUUAAACCUACCUUGCAGACAUCGGAGCUAGACUUGCAUCAUGAAGAGGCAGCGAAGCGAAGAUGGUGGAGGAGAAUCUAAUCCCUGGGACACAAACCUGUUCUACAACAUGAAUCUGCAACAGGUACAGACAACAAUUUUCAGCUGAGAAACAUAAAAGGAGAAACAUUUUAGAAAAAAACUAAAAGAAAUCGCUAUCCCAGUAUAGCAGCAGCUAAAAUGAACUGAAGCACAUGCCAUAGCAAUGAAGAAGGAGAAAGAAAAGAACCAGAAGACUCAAAUUGGGGAUUUGCCGCUCGACUUGAGGAGAUGGAUUGUCAACAACAGU